Camarhynchus parvulus is the source of this 1639-nucleotide long non-coding RNA. The record is from Ensembl. Lineage: Eukaryota; Metazoa; Chordata; Aves; Passeriformes; Thraupidae.
AUGCUUGGAAGGGGUCCCCAAAAAUUUGGGGGGUCCCUGAUGAGAGGGGGAUCCCAAAAAUUGAGGGGAGGGCCCAGGAUGCUUGUGGGGGGUCCCUGGAGGAUUUUGGGGGUCCCUGGAGGAUUUUGGGGGUCCCAGUGGUUUUUGGGGGUCCCAGUGGUUUUUGGGCUCCCCAUUCAGGAGGUGUCCCGGGGUUUUGGGGGUCUCGAGUUUUGGGGUCCCCAUUUGGGGGUGUCCCAGGGUUGUGGGGUCCCAGCGGUUUUUGGGGUCUCAGGGUUUUUGGGGUCCCCAUUUGGGGUCCCAGUGGUUUUUGGGGUCCCCAUUUGGGGUCCCAGUGGUUUUUGGGGUCCCGGGGUUUUGGGGUCCCCAUUUGGGGUCCCAAGGUUUUGGGGAUCCCAGGGUUUUGGGGUCCCGGUGGUUUUUUGGGUCCUGGUGGUUUUGGGGCGUCCCAAGGUUUUGGGGUCCCCAUUCAGGGGAUGUCCCGGGGUUUUGGGGUGUCCCAGGGAGUUUUGUAGUGUCCCGCGGGUUUUGGGGUCCCGGGGUUUUGGGGUCCCCAUUUGGGAAUGUCCCAGGGUUUUGGGGUCCCGAGGUUUUGGGGUCCCAGUGGUUUCAGGGUGUCCCAGGCUUUUGGGGUCCCCAUUUGGGGGUGUCCUGGGAUUUUGUGGGUUCCAGUGGUUUUGGGGGUUCUGGGGUUUUGGGGGUCCCGGGGUUUUGGGGUCCCAGUGGUUUUUGGGGUCCCAAGGUUUUGAGGUCCCCAUCAGGAGGAGUCAAGGGGUUUUGGGGUCCCCAUUUUGGGGAUCCCAAGAUCUUGGGGAUCCUGGGGUUUUAGGUUGCCAGUGGUUUUGGGGUCCCAGGUGGGUUUUGGGGAUCCUGGGGUUUUGGGGUCCCCAUUCAGGGGGUGUCCCAGCCUUUUGGGGUCCCAGCAGUUUUUGGGGUCCCAAGGUUUUGGGGUCGCAGUGGUUGUUGGGGUCCUGGGUUUUGGGGUCCCAUCCAGCUGGGUUUUGGGAUCCCAGUGGUUUUGGGGUCACAGUGAUUUUGGGGCUCUGGGGUUUUGGGGUCCCAGUGGUUUGGGACCCACCCAGGCGGGUUUUGGGGUCCCACCCAGGUCGUUUUGGGGUUCUGGGGUUUUGGGGUCCCACCCAGGUGGUUUUGGGGGUCCCAGCGGUUUUGGGGUCCCAUCUAGGUGGGUUUUGGGGUUCUGGGGUUUUGGGGUCCCAGCCAGGUGUUUUUGGGGGGGGUCCCACCCAGGCGGGUUUUGGGGUCCCAGCGGUUUUGGGGUCCCACCCAGGUGUUUUUGGGGUCCCAGUGUUUUGGGGGUCCCAGUGUUUUUGGGGUCCCCCCCAGGUGUUUUGGGGUCCCAGUUUCGGGGGCUCAGCAGCGCCCGGCCUUGGCGUCGCCGAUGGCGCCCCAGACGUCGAACACGAACUCGUCGGGGAAGGCGAAGUCGCCGAGCUGAGCGUCCAGAGCCUCGGCCAGAGCGUCGGGGUCACGCGCGUCGCGGCCCAGCUCCACCAUGGUGGCCGCUGUGGGGACAUCGGGGACAUUGGGGACAUCGGGGACAUUGGGGACAUCGGGGACAUUGGGGACAUUGGGGACAUCGGGGACAUUGGGGACAAUGGGGACAUUGGGGACAUCGGGG